AUGCAAGCCUCCACUUAGCCCACCCUGCUCCUAUACGGUGUGUGACGUCCCCGUCAAUCUCACCGUCCCCCUGAAUCACUGACCCAAGGUAACGGACGCUGUCCUUCUUGGCGAUGGCCUGAGAGCCAAUCAUCACGUCCCUGCCUACUUCGGUCGGAUCGGCGCUAAACUUGCACUCCAGGUAUUCUGUCUUAGAUCUG
Molecule: long non-coding RNA, 200 nt
Filed under: Nicotiana benthamiana
Lineage: Eukaryota; Viridiplantae; Streptophyta; Magnoliopsida; Solanales; Solanaceae
Description: long non-coding RNA (NBEN_LNC008551)
Source: RNAcentral